CAGAACCAGGUGUUAGUCUGAUCCAUCAGGUAGGAGAUACUGGAGAAAGAAGCUGGUUUGAGAGUAGCAUCAUCAACAUCUGAUCUGAGAUCCAGGACCAGGAAGCUGCUGGUUCUGAUCCAGAUAAACUCACUCACCUGGAAGAGGGGCUAGGCUCAACUUGAAGGCACCAUGUUAUUCAGGACCAAAGACACGUCUCCGUCUUUCAUCUGCCGGUCGCGUAGAUCCACUCGGUUCUCGUACAUUUGGUGCUGGUGUUCCGGAUCCAACUUGCCAUCCCGAAAUAAAAGGACAAAUUCAUCCUCCAAAUCAGUUCUGCUCCACUCUACGACGGCGGCAGCUGAAGGCAGAGAGGAGGUGGCAUUCUGGGAGGGUGGCACCUAUGAGGGGGUGUCAGGAUGGACUGUGGUGACCUGGAGACCCCAAGUUCCCCCAUCCAGGAGCUCAGUGACCUCAGGUCUACACUACAGGAGAGAGGUUGAAUAGCUAGGCUAUUCGCAUGCUAAGUAGAGUCAUUAACCCUCCAACCCUCACUCAUGGGAUUCCGCAAUCGACAGUUUUUGACUCCCGCGAGUGACAAUGUGCUGUGCUGCCAUCUGUCGGUUACUGUCCAUAACUGCGUUCGCGUCAGUGUACAGGGUCAAAAACGCCACUUUUCCUGCAGUGCAAUAAUCAGUGAUUGAUUUUAAGCUUGGUCAAUUAACCUGAGCUUCCUAUCACAGACUCCACUAAAUGUAUAUGUGGCCAGUAGGGGGGAUUCUUUUAACAAGUUACAUAAAUGCAUCAGAAUACAAACUGAAUUCUACACAAUCUUUUAUUAACAACUUCCUUAAAACAUUUCUAUUUUAAAAAACGUGGCUUCAGGCCUACAUAACUCGGUCCUUGAGAAGAAAAAAGGAAAGUAGUGAGGACA
Long non-coding RNA from Xiphophorus hellerii (green swordtail), 913 nucleotides. RefSeq lists it as uncharacterized. The transcript has 3 exons. The record is from RefSeq and is a predicted model, not a curated record. NCBI's taxonomy places the organism in Eukaryota, Metazoa, Chordata, Actinopteri, Cyprinodontiformes, Poeciliidae.